Molecule: long non-coding RNA, 2063 nt
Organism: Fundulus heteroclitus (mummichog)
Lineage: Eukaryota; Metazoa; Chordata; Actinopteri; Cyprinodontiformes; Fundulidae
Exons: 3
Source: RefSeq, a predicted model, not a curated record
GAGUAUAAGCAUGCAAGUGGAAGUGUGCACUGCCUCCUGAGAGGAGAAACUCCUUAUUUACAGCGGGAUGCGGGAACUAGAGAUGGAUGCUGGGUGUGUUGUUUUUGUCUGUGGAUACGGAGUGCUCCGGGCAACCCGAACUGCUCGUUAGGCUCCAGCUCUCUGGCAACCUAUAGGUCUUAAAGGGUCAGCACCCUCUACCAUCGCUCCGGCCAAUUUACCUCAUUCAGUUCACCUGCUGCUGUUAACUAGCUUCAGGUCAUCUCACCUGAAUCUCUGCUUAUUUAUCCCUGCCUCCCACAGUCACUCACUGCCAGAUUGUCCCCUGUGUGGGUAGUCAGCCAGCAUUUAGAGUUUGCAUCGCCUGUUUUGACCAGUUUCUGUUUUUGGAUUCGCUGUCUGCCUUGCCCUUGUUGGAUACCUCAUCGGCCUUCUGAUUUCUGGACGUGACUUUGCACUGCACUCUGACCACGAUUCCUGCCCAGCCCCUUUGUUCUUGUCUGCCUGUCUCUGUCAUCAUCAUCUGUUCAAGUCUGCCUAUUAUCAACUGCGACUCUGCAAUAAACCUGUUUAAAGGCGCAACACCGUCUUCUGGCUCAUUUCGUACCAGUCAUAACAAGAUCUGCUGAGCUAUGAAAGAAAACAAGAAAAAGAUUGCCAUCAACUCAAACGGGAAAAGAGCCAAGAGAGAAAAGAUAAUCAGUGACGUUUCAGUCAUCCACUCCUACCUGUGCCACAUCGACCAGAGAAACAGCAUCUCAGGGAUUGGCUUCAACAACCAUCUCAGAGAGUGCAGCCAGAGGUACUGACGGACGCUGACACAUGGUCCAAUUUCUACCUACUACUAGUAGUACUACUACUGCUACUAUGCUACUACUACUACUGGUACUAAUGAUGUUCGCUGAGUUCAAUUCUGAAUCUCAGUUCAGACUUGUAAAGCGAGUGAAACUCAGUUAUGGUGUUGAAUAUACAAACACUCCAGUGAUAAUGAAAUGCAGCUAUUUUUUGCUCCAGAGCAAAGGAAAUGAAUGUCUCUGAGUAUCUAAUGUUGUACUUUCAGCCAAGUGUAAUAAAAUCUGACUGUCUAAUGCUACAAGCUACAGGCACCAAGGGAAUGCCCAUCACAGCAGGGUGCCUGCUGAAACUGUAAGACUUAGGUCCCCAGACUCAUCGUCCUCUUUUUUCACCUGCUGCUCGGAGCAGCAUAAGGGAGACACUCUCAUCUCUUUUUUCGUGGACCGUGAAGGCAUCUGCACUGGAGAGACCAUGUACAGGCUGAACCCAGCUAAGUACAGUCUGCCUUCUUCAACAUCGGGAUCUAAACAGACGACCGCCACAGAACGGGGCUGUGUGUGUCAUCUUUCUCAGCUUUUGCAGGAAAGCUGAGCCGAGACUGCAUGAAGCGGUGUCCCGUGGCUGGACUGUGCCUAAAUACGUGGGGGCCUCCACAACACCGCACACAGCCAUGCUAGAAAAUCCUUGCCGAGUUCCCCACAGCGUUGAAGUUCCUACGGCCAGAGAACCCACAGAGGAAUGAGAGCCGCUUGCUCGUAGCACCUGUCCGAACUAGCUUCACCCCGGAGCAACUUCGUGCAAUCAAACGCCCCAAAGUCGACCGAAUGGACACAGAGGCAGAAGUUUAGCAGAGUUAAGCAGGAAUGGUUAGGAUGGGAAUAAUUGUUUAAAUGGUUUACUUUUAAUGUGCUUUUACUGUUUUGUUUUUAAAGUUUGACUUAGGUAAACAGACCUGGAGCUUACAGGCUGAAUCAAAAGUCCACAAAGAACUUAAGAAUCAGGAGUUUUCUGGGGUUACUAUUACUUUUGACGUUACUUCAACAUUGUCUAAGGUUAUUCCGUGAAGCAGCCAGAAAAGAGAAAAGGCAGCAAAGAAAAGAUCCACGGAAAAUGAAUACACACAAGGGCAGAUAAUACAGAACGUUUCAUGCUAAUGCUCUACAGGAAUCUUCACUGAGGUCAGAAUAACCAUCUUUGCUCUGUGAUCACAUCAUCUAGUGAUCUUUGUAUUUUCCUUUGCACCAAUGCCUCUAAUGGUACAUGACUGA